This 639-nucleotide long non-coding RNA is filed under the name Elaeis guineensis (African oil palm). RNAcentral describes it as "long non-coding RNA (EGUI_LNC060440)". Lineage: Eukaryota; Viridiplantae; Streptophyta; Magnoliopsida; Arecales; Arecaceae. The record is from RNAcentral.
CGGCCUCAGCAGCAGCCUCGGAAUAGCAUUUUUUCGCCUGGCGGAGCUCACCCUCCGACUUUUUCAACUUCUUCGUCAGGUGGAGGACCUCCUUUUUUAGCCGUUGGAUAGUUGACUUCAACGGGACCCCCAGGGGCAAGGGAAGUGCUUCGGCGGGACACUGCCAUCGGAGGAUGCAAAUGUCAGAGACCAACUCGUUACAAGAAGAAAGGCAGAAAAGAAGAAGCAGGGGGAAGGAAAGGCCAUCCACAAUAAGAAGUUUGACUUUAUUGAUUAAUUUUGAAGACAAGCGGAAAGGAAAUAUGGCGGCAAAAGAAAGAUACAAGGUCGGAGGUCUCAGACCUCGGGGGCAGGGGGUGGAGAGCCCGGCGCGGGGGGUGCGACUGCGGCAGCGGCGGACGAAGGGGCGGCCUCGUCGUCAGACUCCUCCAGAAAGCCGAGUUCAAGGUCAGGGUAUCUGCAGGCCACCCUCUCUCGGCAGAGCUCGAACCCCUUGGUGAACGCCUCCAGGCCGAACUGGACGUUCAGCUCCCUCAUCUCCGCGGAGGUCUUGAACUCCUCCACCGCAAGGGUCCUGGCCUCCGAAACCAGAACCGGAGUUUGCUCGGCCAGAUGGGCGACCUCGGCCUCCGCCUUCCU